GGCCUUGUAGUCCAGUGGUUCAAAGACAUAUCCUUGACUUGGAUAGGACCCCAGUUCGAUUCUGGGCAGGGCCA
RNAcentral lists this transfer RNA (74 nucleotides) under Candidatus Pacearchaeota archaeon. RNAcentral describes it as "tRNA-Val". It matches the Rfam family "tRNA". Rfam says of the family: Transfer RNA (tRNA) molecules are approximately 80 nucleotides in length. Their secondary structure includes four short double-helical elements and three loops (D, anti-codon, and T loops). The record is from RNAcentral. Lineage: Archaea; Nanobdellati.